UACUAGAGUAGCACUCGCAUAUCAAUAAGCGGAGGAAAAGUAACUAACAAGGAUUCCCCUAGUAACGGCGAGUGAAGGCGGGAGGAGCUCAAAUUUGAAAUCUUCAAGGUUCUACCUUGACGAAUUGUAGUUUAUAGAAGUGUUUUCUGUUAGUAGAGGUGGCUAAAAGUUCUUUGGAAUAGGACAUCAUAGAGGGUGAGAAUCCCGUAUUUGAUCACUUCUUUACUAACGUUGUGAUACACUUUCAACGAGUCGGAUUGUUUGGGAAUGCAGUCCAAAAUGGGUGGUAAAUUUCAUCUAAAGCUAAAUAUUGGCGAGAGACCGAUAGCGAACAAGUACCGUGAGGGAAAGAUGAAAAGAACUUUGAAAAGAGAGUUAACCAGUACGUGAAAUUGUCAAAAGGGAAGCGUUUAACACCAGUGUUGUUUUUCCGAAAAUCAAUUACGAAUGUUUUGUUUUUAAGAAGUUAUGACUUCAUCGGCUUGCUUCUUUCUUUACGAAACUUUCUUAAUGCACUUUUCGGUUAACAAGUCAACAUCAAUUUCUUUUGUUGUAAAAGGGUAUGAGGAAGGUGGCUUUCUUUUCGGAGAAAGUGUUUAUAGCCUUGUAGCCUCUGCAAUCGGAGAGAUUGAGGUCUGCAGCGUAGAUCCUUCGGGGUUAGAUACAUUUGUGCUAAGUUAUAGCUUUUCAUAGACAACAUGUUGACUAUGUUAGUCAUGUAGCUUACUCGCUAGUGCUAUUUUACCUACGCUUAGGAUGUUGAAGAUGUAGCACAUCAU
Molecule: ribosomal RNA, 779 nt
Filed under: uncultured Neocallimastigales
Lineage: Eukaryota; Fungi; Neocallimastigomycota; Neocallimastigomycetes; Neocallimastigales
Description: partial large subunit ribosomal RNA
Rfam family: Eukaryotic large subunit ribosomal RNA
Source: RNAcentral